GAUGAACGCUGGCGGCGUGCCUAAUACAUGCAAGUCGAGCGAACAGACGAGGAGCUUGCUCCUCUGAUGUUAGCGGCGGACGGGUGAGUAACACGUGGAUAACCUACCUAUAAGACUGGGAUAACUUCGGGAAACCGGAGCUAAUACCGGAUAACAUGUUGAACCGCAUGGUUCAACAGUGAAAGACGGUCUUGCUGUCACUUAUAGAUGGAUCCGCGCCGCAUUAGCUAGUUGGUAAGGUAACGGCUUACCAAGGCAACGAUGCGUAGCCGACCUGAGAGGGUGAUCGGCCACACUGGAACUGAGAAACGGUCCAGACUCCUACGGGAGGCAGCAGUAGGGAAUCUUCCGCAAUGGGCGAAAGCCUGACGGAGCAACGCCGCGUGAGUGAAGAAGGUCUUCGGAUCGUAAAACUCUGUUAUUAGGGAAGAACAAAUGUGUAAGUAACUAUGCACGUCUUGACGGUACCUAAUCAGAAAGCCACGGCUAACUACGUG
RNAcentral lists this ribosomal RNA (497 nucleotides) under uncultured bacterium. RNAcentral describes it as "partial 16S ribosomal RNA". It matches the Rfam family "Bacterial small subunit ribosomal RNA", at positions 28 to 507 of the family's 1533-position model. The record is from RNAcentral.